RNAcentral lists this ribosomal RNA (386 nucleotides) under uncultured bacterium. RNAcentral's name for it is "bacterial SSU rRNA". It matches the Rfam family "Bacterial small subunit ribosomal RNA", at positions 30 to 417 of the family's 1533-position model. The record is from RNAcentral.
AUUGAACGCUGGCGGCAUGCUUUACACAUGCAAGUCGAACGGCAGCACGGGGGCAACCCUGGUGGCGAGUGGCGAACGGGUGAGUAAUACAUAGGAACGUGUCCUGAAAUGGGGGAUAGCUCGGCGAAAGCCGGAUUAAUACCGCAUACGAUCCACGGAUGAAAGCAGGGGAUUCGCAAGAACCUUGCGUUUCUGGAGCGGCCUAUGUCUGAUUAGCUAGUUGGCGGGGUAAAGCCCACCAAGGCGACGAUCAGUAGCUGGUCUGAGAGGAUGAUCAGCCACACUGGGACUGAGACACGGCCCAGACUCCUACGGGAGGCAGCAGUGGGAAUUUUGGACAAUGGGGCAACCCUGAUCCAGCCAUGCCGCGUGAGUGAAGAAGGCCU